Molecule: RNA transcript, 917 nt
Organism: Fragaria vesca subsp. vesca
Lineage: Eukaryota; Viridiplantae; Streptophyta; Magnoliopsida; Rosales; Rosaceae
Exons: 2
Source: RefSeq, a predicted model, not a curated record
GCUCUUAUCUGCUUUUAUUCUGUUCUCUCUCUCUCUCUCUCUCUCUAACUCACAUGAUCGGAAAAUUGAACAUCAUCGAGAUCAAGAAAUUGAACCAGCUUAAGAAAGGGAAGCUGGAGAAAUUGAUCGGGAUCAAGAUCGAUCAAAACAAGCUCACUAUCCGAGGGAUGAAGACGGACGAUCUAGAUCUCGGCCUACGAUCUGAACCGCUUCGCCCUAACGAUCUGGAGAAGGCAAAUAGUCUUUAUUAAGUCGCGUUGGAGGAGAAGGAUUGGAUGAUAAGCUCGGCCUUGCGUCAUCCGACGAGUUUAGCGGUGAAGCGGUGAAGUUAUCCGGCAACUUAUCUGUGAUUUUAGAAGUUGUGUGCACUGUGCAGCGUUGACAUGUUGCUUGGGAUUAAGAUGGGUGAGAAACGAGACUAUUGCUAAUGGAGGUGUUUUGUCAAAUAUUCAUCGGAAAUCUGUUGUGGAAGAAGACUUUGGAGGGUAAGGAGACAAAUGAAUUUGAGUUUCAGUCGUAGUAGCAGUUUCUUAGUUAAUAGUAGCAGAGUCCUAGUAGGCAGUAGAAGUGUAGUAGCAGCGACAAUAAAAUCGUCCUAAUAGGUAGUAGUAGCAGUAAUAACGUCUUAGUAGGCAGUUGCAGACUUCGAAGUUGGCAGUAGCAGCUACGGGCAUCAAAGUCGACAGUAACAGCUACGGGAAUCCAAGUCGGCAGUAGCAGUGACCAGCAUCCAAGUCGGCAGUAGCAGCGACGGGCAUCCAAGUCAGCAGUAAAAUAUGUAGUGAAUGGUAGUUUGAUAAAAUAUACAGUGACAGAUGUAAUGUGGACAUCAAUUUGUCCUAAUUUGUUAAUUUUUGUCCUUAAAUGUGUAAAAUAAUGUCUAAAGGAUGUAUUUGUAAACUGAAAUUUGGUUAGUA